UCCUGGUUAGCUCAGUUGGGAGAGCGUUCUUCUGGAAUGGAGAGGUCCCUGGUUCGAUGGCAGGACCAGGUG
RNAcentral lists this transfer RNA (72 nucleotides) under Ixodes scapularis (black-legged tick). Its description in RNAcentral is "tRNA-Ser". Lineage: Eukaryota; Metazoa; Arthropoda; Arachnida; Ixodida; Ixodidae. The record is from RNAcentral.